GACAUGGAUUAGCAAUUAAUGAAUUGAAUGAAUUUCAAUUAACGCACGUGAACAACAUGCCUUGCUAAAACUCAGAGCAAAAUGAAUCAAAGAGGGAACUUCAAGAACCCUAACUCAAGAAUUCAAAAUUAAACAGCAACGGAGUGGAAUCGAGUCACCUCUUGUUGGGGCUUUCAUUCCUCUCGUGAAGAACUACAUUCCGGUAACUCAAAUUGCAAAAAGAAAGAAGAGGACCAAAAGCUUACCAGAGUAAACGUCGAUGUAAGGUGAUGGAUGAGUCGUGAAGAUGAUGAUGAAUUGAGAUUGAUGAUAAGUGGUUCAGAGAAGUGGAGGGCUGAUUCCUUGGCUUGAAUGCUCGUGGGAUUUGGAUCCAAUGGCUUACUCUCAUGCCUUGGUCAUGGAGCUGACUUGGGAUGCUUUGGUUGCAUUAAAGUGGAUACAAGGAUUGUUUGGAGUACAUCAUGUGGAAUUGGAAUUGCUUGGACUGUUUUUGGAGUUUUGCUCAUGUUGUAUUGUUGUAAUGGUUUAAUGUUGUUGAAAAUGCCUAUGUAUGUAUGGUUAUGAUUGUAAUUUGAAUUUGGUUGAAGUAGUUGUAAUUUGAAAUUGGAAUUGAAUUUAUGGAUAAAGGAAAAUUGAUGAUGUAUGUAA
Molecule: long non-coding RNA, 648 nt
Organism: Lathyrus oleraceus (garden pea)
Lineage: Eukaryota; Viridiplantae; Streptophyta; Magnoliopsida; Fabales; Fabaceae
Exons: 3
Source: RefSeq, a predicted model, not a curated record